UGAGCCGAGUAGUAAGUAGGAAAGUCGAUAAUGAAGUAGCUCAUUAAAGAACACAGCAGUAUCCUACUGAGAAUCUGUCAAGCGCUUAGGGGGCUUUCAAAGUGCGAAAUCAAGGUUCUAAGCGAUGAUUUUUUUUCCUUCGUAGGAACCACCACUUUAAGGAAGAUCAUUGGAUAGGUCUGACUAUAAUCUAC
Cucurbita maxima (winter squash) is the source of this 194-nucleotide long non-coding RNA. RefSeq lists it as uncharacterized. The record is from RefSeq and is a predicted model, not a curated record. NCBI's taxonomy places the organism in Eukaryota, Viridiplantae, Streptophyta, Magnoliopsida, Cucurbitales, Cucurbitaceae. The transcript has 3 exons.